AACGAACGCUGGCGGCAUGCCUAACACAUGCAAGUCGAACGAGACCUUCGGGUCUAGUGGCGCACGGGUGCGUAACGCGUGGGAACCUGCCCUUAGGUUCGGAAUAACUCCCCGAAAGGGGUGCUAAUACCGGAUAAUGUCUUCGGACCAAAGAUUUAUCGCCUUUGGAUGGGCCCGCGUUGGAUUAGCUAGUUGGUAGGGUAAAAGCCUACCAAGGCGACGAUCCAUAGCUGGUCUGAGAGGAUGAUCAGCCACACUGGGGCUGAGACACGGCCCAGACUCCUACGGGAGGCAGCAGUGGGGAAUAUUGGACAAUGGGCGAAAGCCUGAUCCAGCAAUGCCGCGUGAGUGAUGAAGGCCUUAGGGUUGUAAAGCUCUUUUACCCGGGAUGAUAAUGACAGUACCGGGAGAAUAAGCUACGGCUAACUCCGUG
RNAcentral lists this ribosomal RNA (433 nucleotides) under uncultured bacterium. Its description in RNAcentral is "partial 16S ribosomal RNA". It matches the Rfam family "Bacterial small subunit ribosomal RNA", at positions 29 to 507 of the family's 1533-position model. The record is from RNAcentral.